GACGAACGCUGGCGGCGUGCUUAACACAUGCAAGUCGAACGGAAAGGCCCUGCUUUUGUGGGGUGCUCGAGUGGCGAACGGGUGAGUAACACGUGAGUAACCUGCCCUUGACUUUGGGAUAACUUCAGGAAACUGGGGCUAAUACCGGAUAGGAGCUCCUGCUGCAUGGUGGGGGUUGGAAAGUUUCGGCGGUUGGGGAUGGACGCGCGGCUUAUCAGCUUGUUGGUGGGGUAGUGGCUUACCAAGGCUUUGACGGGUAGCCGGCCUGAGAGGGUGACCGGCCACAUUGGUACUGCGGUACGCCGCAGACUCCUACGGGAGGCAGCAGUGGAGAAUCUUGCGCAGUGGGCGGAAGCCUGAUGCAGCAGCGCCGCGUGCGGGAUGACGGCCUUCGGGUUGUAAACCGCUUUCGCCUGUGACGAAGCGUGAGUGACGGUACUGAGUAAAGAAGCACCGGCUAACUACGUG
This 468-nucleotide ribosomal RNA is filed under the name uncultured bacterium. RNAcentral's name for it is "partial 16S ribosomal RNA". It matches the Rfam family "Bacterial small subunit ribosomal RNA", at positions 28 to 507 of the family's 1533-position model. The record is from RNAcentral.